RNAcentral lists this ribosomal RNA (253 nucleotides) under uncultured bacterium. RNAcentral describes it as "partial 16S ribosomal RNA". It matches the Rfam family "Bacterial small subunit ribosomal RNA", at positions 524 to 776 of the family's 1533-position model. The record is from RNAcentral.
UACAGAGGUGGCAAGCGUUGUUCGGAAUUACUGGGCGUAAAGGGCGAGUAGGUGGCCAUCUAAGUCAGACGUGAAAUCCCCCGGCUUAACCUGGGAACUGCGUCUGAUACUGGACGGCUUGAGUAUGGGAGAGGAACGUAGAAUUCCAGGUGUAGCGGUGAAAUGCGUAGAUAUCUGGAGGAAUACCGGUGGCGAAGGCGGCGUUCUGGACCAUUACUGACGCUGAAUCGCGAAAGCUAGGGGAGCAAACGGG